RNAcentral lists this ribosomal RNA (260 nucleotides) under unidentified marine bacterioplankton. RNAcentral describes it as "partial 16S ribosomal RNA". It matches the Rfam family "Bacterial small subunit ribosomal RNA", at positions 40 to 339 of the family's 1533-position model. The record is from RNAcentral.
CGGCAGGCUUAACACAUGCAAGUCGAACGCGUGUAGCAAUACACGAGUGGCGCACGGGUGAGUAACGCGUGGAUAUCUGCCUUUGGUUCGAUAACCCGGAACUGGGCUAUACGAUGGUUCUCGGGUAAAGAUUUAUCGCCAAAAGAUGAGUCCGCGUACGAUUAGCUAGUUGGUGAGGUAAUGGCUCACCAAGGCGACGAUCGUUAGCUGGUCUGAGAGGGCGAUCAGCCACACUGGGACUGAGACACGGCCCAGACUCC